CUUAAGAUCAGUGGUAGCAUGUGAUAGCUGCCUUUCAUUUCGUAUGUGGCUUCAAGAUAAUUAGUUCGCCUCCUCUCGAGGAAUGUAGUAUUUCUCGUAGUGGACUUGAGUUUCAAAACAGUCUGAACGGGCAUAUGCCUGUAGGCUGUGCUCUCUUAAGGAACUUGUUACGGAGAAGGUUAUAAAUUAAUAUCCUCCUGUAGGGCCCAAUUCCUGGAAACACAGCUGUCAAAUGAAGAGGUCAAGGUGGAAAAAACCUAGACACACCAUUCCAUCUUCAUUAUCUUGAUGCCCAAACAUGCUUGACCUAAAGCUAGAGUUUAAUCAGGAGCGUCUCAGUCAGCAGUGUCACUGAUGGGUGUUGAGUGGCUUGGUGUAACAUGUGGAUGAUUAUGUAAUAGAGACGCGAUCGCUGCCUGUGAAUAGUCAAACACGGCAACUACUAUGACGCUUGUCCCACAACUGCAGAGGCUGCCAGGUUGGCAAAACAAGAUCAUGUAAGAAACCCAAGGCAUUCAUCUUGCUCCAAAUGCAAAUCUGAAUUUAAACUGAAACUUCAUCAUGUUUUACUUGGCAACUUCUGUACCCUGAGUAACAACGUUUGUAAAGUUAGUUACACUGAUGUAAGAUUUUGUUUUUUACUAUUUGUUGGAAUGACUAAUUUCUCAUGUACUUUCCACAAUGAGAAAAACAGGCCUUCUACAUGUUAUAUUUAUCAGUGCUUGAUAUAACUAGAAUCUAAAACGAAUCAUGUGAGAAUCUUUCAAAGAGUUGUGUAAGAAUGCGUCUUGUGCAGGGUCAGGAUCAUUUUCUUCUGGGCCGCUGCGAGCUUCAUUAUAGUCACUGUGUGUAAACUGGUAACAUGGUUUCAACAGAGGUUACUGGAUCUCCGGCUUCAUUUGGUUCUUUCAAUAAGUCCUGAGGUUGACUAAACUUGCACUAAUUUAAAAUUAUUCUCUAAUGGAAACUUAGUGGUUAAAACACUGGAAUUCUAAUUGAAAAUCCCAGCACCACCCUUAACCCUUAACUGAAAGAGUAUAAUCUAUAUAAUUGUGAGUCACUCUGAAUAAGGGCGUAAAUCCCGUACACCCUCAGCAAAGCUCAUUCUUUAGCAUUUGGUUGUGCGGAUGAAGACCAUUAAUACCCCGCCAUUUCCACUUAACACAGGUCUAACACAGGUUAACCACAAGUUCAGUCAGAACCGUUAGGAGUACAGGACCAGGAUUAAAAAUAAUGAAAAUAUAUAUGAAUCAAGUAUUGUUUGAGUGGUUUAGCAGCCAAAGAUCAUGAGCAACUGAAUAAGUGUUCAAGAGGGCAUGAAAAAGAAUAAAUUCUACAUGUGUGUUUACUUUCUGUUUCAACAGCUACUAAUCCUCUACAUUUUAUUGCAGACUGUUAUGUCUUUUCAGGUGUAAACUAGCUCUCAGGCCUGCUGUAACCUGUCAACUGGUAUACACUCAGAUAGGUAAACGAAAACAAAAAAAGUGUUAAAACCACAAACAGUUUAGCAUUCGCAGAGCCCUAAGGACAAAUUCAAAGUUAAAGGUCAAGCAUGAUAGUUAUAAACUUCAGCUGUUAUAUAAAUACGUUACUCCCUCUACUGGCUGUUGAAUGCAAAUGCUUUUUAGUGAACAUUACACAGUACAUUUUAAAAAUAAGAACGAAAACCUGGAAUGAAAAUGCAAAACUUUUAACGUACAGUUACAAUACAUAAACAUUUUAUUGGCAAUGCCCUUUGCAUACUUCAGAUAAAAAUGUAAAAAACAAUACUGCAUAACCUGGUCGACAUAAUUUUGUUGAAUAUGCUGACACCAAUAUCUGUGAACAUAGAUUUUCUUUAUUUCAGUCUUAUUUAUUUCCAAAUAACAAAAAGAAAAUACACAUUCUUGCACCUCAUGAUGAGUUCAAUUUAACAGAAAAAUCAAUGGCUCUUGAAUGCUAUUUUGUUACGUAAUGUAUACCACAUUGUAGUAUAAGCAGAUAAGAAAUACUAAUAUUCUGAUCGUAGUAAUUUAACGAAAUGAUAAAAGAUCAGUACUGACCACAGGAAACGCAAAAGGAAGAUAAAGACACAUCCAGGGUGUAAUCCUGCUUGGCACCUAGUGGUCCCUAAGAUGGGUCUUAGAUUCAUUGCGAAUUAAUUGCAAUUACUUUCAUAAAAUAGUUGCAGGUGCUGAGCGAAUGAACGAUCAUUGAUAUGUGAUACGAUACCUUUUUAGUGUGUGUGAAGGGGUGAUUCUAAAAAUCCACUCUUAUUCAGUAGUUUGUAAAUGCACUGGAUGAGGAGGAAAUUAAACUGUGAUAAAAUACACGGCUAAUUCAAGUUUAGGUGUAAAUAUAUAUCUUUAUAUCCUUAUUUAUAUAAAAUACUGUCUCAUUAAAAGCAGAUUUACUUUGUACAAAUAUUGCAUAAGCAUAAAAGCUAGAUAAACUGUGAACGAGUGAUUGUUGGUGUGAGUGAAUGAAUGAAUAAACACGUGCCAAAGAUUUUGAAAAAAAUAAAAAAUCAUUACUAUAUAAAGUACCGCUUAAGGUUUUAGACUAAAAAGGUGUUUUACACAAUAUACACAUUUUAUUACGUACAAAACAAACACAAAAAAUAGUCUGUAGUUAUUGAUUCUUGGAUACAGCAGUGUUAGUACCACCAAGAAGUGGGAGAAAAAGGAGUGAUGAAAAAAAAAAUGAAAGCAUUAAAAAAAAUAAUAAAGCAGUCUCACUAAUGUAACUAUUCAGUGCAUUUUUCUCAUUGAUGUUCAAAGUGCCGAUUUGGUAACAUAGAGAGAAUUUCAGUACUUUGCAAAGGACUUCUCUCAAACAAUGUGUUACUUGCAUACCACCAACAAUUCUAUGAGAAAAAAAUCUUUUAAACAAAACAAAAAAAAGGAGGGGAAAAAAUGCACUUUUGUUGAUAAUUUAUCCAUCAUGGCACCAUGGUUGAUUUUUCUGUCUCCGUAUGAGGUACUUCUUUAAAACAAAAAACAAAAAAAACCCAAAAAAAGAUAAA
Silurus meridionalis is the source of this 3004-nucleotide long non-coding RNA. RefSeq lists it as uncharacterized. NCBI's taxonomy places the organism in Eukaryota, Metazoa, Chordata, Actinopteri, Siluriformes, Siluridae. The transcript has 2 exons. The record is from RefSeq and is a predicted model, not a curated record.